GACGUAGGGCGCGAGCGUUGUCCGGAUUUAUUGGGCGUAAAGAGCUCGUAGGCGGCUUGUUGCGUCAGCUGUGAAAACCCGCAGCUCAACUGUGGGCUUGCAGCUGAUACGGGCAGGCUUGAGUCCGGUAGGGGAGUGUGGAAUUCCCGGUGUAGCGGUGAAAUGCGCAGAUAUCGGGAGGAACACCGAUGGCGAAGGCAGCACUCUGGGCCGGCACUGACGCUGAGGAGCGAAAGCGUGGGGAGCGAACAGG
RNAcentral lists this ribosomal RNA (253 nucleotides) under uncultured bacterium. Its description in RNAcentral is "partial 16S ribosomal RNA". It matches the Rfam family "Bacterial small subunit ribosomal RNA", at positions 524 to 776 of the family's 1533-position model. The record is from RNAcentral.